AACGAACGCUGGCGGCAUGCCUAACACAUGCAAGUCGAACGAGAUCUUCGGGUCUAGUGGCGCACGGGUGCGUAACGCGUGGGAAUCUGCCCUUCGGUUCGGAAUAACAGUUGGAAACGACUGCUAAUACCGGAUGAUGACAAAAGUCCAAAGAUUUAUCGCCAGAGGAUGAGCCCGCGUAGGAUUAGCUAGUUGGUGUGGUAAAGGCGCACCAAGGCGACGAUCCUUAGCUGGUCUGAGAGGAUGAUCAGCCACACUGGGACUGAGACACGGCCCAGACUCCUACGGGAGGCAGCAGUGGGGAAUAUUGGACAAUGGGCGAAAGCCUGAUCCAGCAAUGCCGCGUGAGUGAUGAAGGCCUUAGGGUUGUAAAGCUCUUUUACCCGGGAUGAUAAUGACAGUACCGGGAGAAUAAGCUCCGGCUAACUCCGUGCCAGCCGCCGCGGUAA
RNAcentral lists this ribosomal RNA (449 nucleotides) under uncultured bacterium. RNAcentral describes it as "partial 16S ribosomal RNA". It matches the Rfam family "Bacterial small subunit ribosomal RNA", at positions 29 to 523 of the family's 1533-position model. The record is from RNAcentral.